This 742-nucleotide ribosomal RNA is filed under the name uncultured bacterium. RNAcentral describes it as "bacterial SSU rRNA". It matches the Rfam family "Bacterial small subunit ribosomal RNA", at positions 8 to 796 of the family's 1533-position model. The record is from RNAcentral.
AGAGUUUGAUCAUGGCUCAGAGCGAACGCUGGCGGCAGGCUUAACACAUGCAAGUCGAACGGGCACUUCGGUGCUAGUGGCAGACGGGUGAGUAACACGUGGGAACGUACCUUUCGGUUCGGAAUAAUUCAGGGAAACUUGGACUAAUACCGGAUAAGCCCUUCGGGGGAAAGAUUUAUCGCCGAUAGAUCGGCCCGCGUCUGAUUAGCUAGUUGGUGAGGUAAUGGCUCACCAAGGCGACGAUCAGUAGCUGGUCUGAGAGGAUGAUCAGCCACAUUGGGACUGAGACACGGCCCAAACUCCUACGGGAGGCAGCAGUGGGGAAUAUUGGACAAUGGGCGAAAGCCUGAUCCAGCCAUGCCGCGUGUGUGAUGAAGGCCUUAGGGUUGUAAAGCACUUUUGUCCGGGAAGAUAAUGACUGUACCGGAAGAAUAAGCCCCGGCUAACUUCGUGCCAGCAGCCGCGGUAAUACGAAGGGGGCUAGCGUUGCUCGGAAUCACUGGGCGUAAAGGGCGCGUAGGCGGACUCUUAAGUCGGGGGUGAAAGCCCAGGGCUCAACCCUGGAAUUGCCUUCGAUACUGAGAGUCUUGAGUUCGGAAGAGGUUGGUGGAACUGCGAGUGUAGAGGUGAAAUUCGUAGAUAUUCGCAAGAACACCAGUGGCGAAGGCGGCCAACUGGUCCGAUACUGACGCUGAGGCGCGAAAGCGUGGGGAGCAAACAGGAUUAGAUACCCCGGUAGUCC